AUCACUUUACGAUGCCAGUUAAGAAGCAUGGUUUCCUGUGAUCCCCGGACCUGAAUGCCUGCUUUGGCUCUAAUAGAUUCAGAUACCUGAAUUAUAUCAGAUCUACAGAUCACAUGAGUAUGUAGCCAUAGCAACGGACAGGCCAGGGAACUCUCCAGGAUUUUACACCAACCCUACGAGAUGCUGACGUUAACCUCUGAGGGCAUAUGUUAUGGUGCAC
Canis lupus familiaris (dog) is the source of this 220-nucleotide long non-coding RNA. RefSeq lists it as uncharacterized. The record is from RefSeq and is a predicted model, not a curated record. The transcript is spliced from 3 exons. NCBI's taxonomy places the organism in Eukaryota, Metazoa, Chordata, Mammalia, Carnivora, Canidae.